UCCAGACUCCUACGGGAGGCAGCAGUGGGGAAUAUUGCACAAUGGGGGAAACCCUGAUGCAGCGACGCCGCGUGAGUGAAGAAGUAUUUCGGUAUGUAAAGCUCUAUCAGCAGGGAAGAAGAAAGACGGUACCUGACUAAGAAGCCCCGGCUAACUACGUGCCAGCAGCCGCGGUAAUACGUAGGGGGCAAGCGUUAUCCGGAUUUACUGGGUGUAAAGGGAGCGUAGACGGCAUGGCAAGUCUGAAGUGAAAGCCCGGGGCUCAACCGCGGGACUGCUUUGGAAACUGUUAAGCUGGAGUGCAGGAGAGGUAAGUGGAAUUCCUAGUGUAGCGGUGAAAUGCGUAGAUAUUAGGAGGAACACCAGUGGCGAAGGCGGCUUACUGGACUGUAACUGACGUUGAGGCUCGAAAGCGUGGGGAGCAAACAGGAUUAGAUACCCCGGUAAA
RNAcentral lists this ribosomal RNA (448 nucleotides) under uncultured bacterium. Its description in RNAcentral is "bacterial SSU rRNA". It matches the Rfam family "Bacterial small subunit ribosomal RNA", at positions 330 to 794 of the family's 1533-position model. The record is from RNAcentral.